UACAGAGGGUGCAAGCGUUGUUCGGAAUUAUUGGGCGUAAAGCGCGUGUAGGCGGCUUUGCAAGUCGGGUGUGAAAAGCCCUCAGCUCAACUGAGGAAGUGCGCCCGAAACUGCAGAGCUUGAGUGCCGGAGAGGGUGGCGGAAUUCCCCAAAGUAGAGGUGAAAUUCGUAGAUAUGGGGAGGAACACCGGUGGCGAAGGCGGCCACCUGGACGGUAACUGACGCUGAGACGCGAAAGCGUGGGGAGCAAACAGG
This 255-nucleotide ribosomal RNA is filed under the name uncultured bacterium. Its description in RNAcentral is "partial 16S ribosomal RNA". It matches the Rfam family "Bacterial small subunit ribosomal RNA", at positions 524 to 776 of the family's 1533-position model. The record is from RNAcentral.